RNAcentral lists this microRNA precursor (96 nucleotides) under Marmota monax (woodchuck). Lineage: Eukaryota; Metazoa; Chordata; Mammalia; Rodentia; Sciuridae. The record is from RNAcentral.
AUUGGAAUUGCUGGGUCACAUGGUAGCUUUGUGUUUGUUUGAGGAACUGCCAAACUAUUUUUCACAUAAGCACCAUUUUACAUUCCCAAGAACAAU